Molecule: transfer RNA, 64 nt
Filed under: Cavia porcellus (domestic guinea pig)
Lineage: Eukaryota; Metazoa; Chordata; Mammalia; Rodentia; Caviidae
Rfam family: tRNA
About the family: Transfer RNA (tRNA) molecules are approximately 80 nucleotides in length. Their secondary structure includes four short double-helical elements and three loops (D, anti-codon, and T loops).
Source: Rfam by way of RNAcentral
GGGGAUUUAGCUCAGUGGCAUAAGCGCCUGCCUUGCAGGCAGGAAGUCGUGAGUUCAAUCCCCA